AACGCAUAUUGCGCCCUUUGGUAUUCCUUAGGGCACACCUGUUCGAGCGUCAUUUCACCACUCAAGCCUCGCUUGGUAUUGGGCGCCGCGGCCUCGUCCGCGCGCCUCAAAGACGUCGGCCGAGCUGUUCAGUCUCUUAGCGUUAUAGAAACCUAUCGCUUCUGAGGUCUGGACGGCGCGCAGCCGCUUGAAAAUCUUCGAAUCUUAUACAGGUUGACCUCGGAUCAGGUGGGGAUACCCGCUGAACUUAA
Molecule: unclassified non-coding RNA, 251 nt
Filed under: uncultured fungus
Lineage: Eukaryota; Fungi
Description: partial contains 5.8S ribosomal RNA, internal transcribed spacer 2, and large subunit ribosomal RNA
Source: RNAcentral